This 253-nucleotide ribosomal RNA is filed under the name uncultured bacterium. Its description in RNAcentral is "partial 16S ribosomal RNA". It matches the Rfam family "Bacterial small subunit ribosomal RNA", at positions 524 to 776 of the family's 1533-position model. The record is from RNAcentral.
UACAGAGGGGGCAAGCGUUGUUCGGAAUUACUGGGCGUAAAGGGCGCGUAGGCGGCCUUCUAAGUCGAACGUGAAAUCCCCGGGCUCAACCCGGGAACUGCGUCCGAUACUGGGAGGCUUGAAUCCGGGAGAGGGAUGCGGAAUUCCAGGCGUAGCGGUGAAAUGCGUAGAUAUCUGGAGGAACACCGGUGGCGAAGGCGGCAUCCUGGACCGGCAUUGACGCUGAGGCGCGAAAGCCAGGGGAGCAAACGGG